UACGUAGGGUGCAAGCGUUAAUCGGAAUUACUGGGCGUAAAGCGUGCGCAGGCGGUUUUGUAAGUCAGAUGUGAAAUCCCCGGGCUUAACCUGGGAACUGCAUUUGUGACUGGCGAGCUAGAGUAUGGCAGAGGGGGGUAGAAUUCCACGUGUAGCAGUGAAAUGCGUAGAGAUGUGGAGGAAUACCGAUGGCGAAGGCAGCCCCCUGGGCCAAUACUGACGCUCAUGCACGAAAGCGUGGGGAGCAAACGAAGGAUUAGAAACCGUUGU
This 270-nucleotide ribosomal RNA is filed under the name uncultured bacterium. RNAcentral describes it as "partial 16S ribosomal RNA". It matches the Rfam family "Bacterial small subunit ribosomal RNA", at positions 524 to 791 of the family's 1533-position model. The record is from RNAcentral.